This 392-nucleotide long non-coding RNA is filed under the name Fukomys damarensis (Damara mole-rat). RNAcentral's name for it is "lncRNA (ENSFDAG00000025801.1)". Lineage: Eukaryota; Metazoa; Chordata; Mammalia; Rodentia; Bathyergidae. The record is from RNAcentral.
GCCCUCAUGAUCCAGUGGUUUAUCUCUGAAUGUGGCUGCAUUGGAGAUCAAGCCCUUCAUACAUGAUUUUUGCGAGACUGAAACCUUGAAGACUUUGUGCUCGCUGUAUAGUAGCCCUUUGGAAGAUGUCUACUCUCUUCAAAGCAAUAAACCUGACUUAAGCCAGUAAGAUGUCUGCCCUUGGAAGAUGUUGGAGGCUUUGUACAUCACUAGCUUGAACUUGCAGUCAACAUAUUUCUCUUUAGGACCCAAAGGAGUGGCAAGGACCCCAGCAGUGUUGCCUUGCAAAGGACUUGAUGGGUAUGUUUGAUUUAAAAAUUCACAUUUCCCACCCAACCAUAAAAAUAAGGAAGGAAAAAAGAAAGAAAAAAAUUUGUCUGUUUUAAACAGGC